AUGCAAAUUGCUGGACUCAACACCCUCGGCAUCUCAAUUGCACGCAUCGACUAUGCUCCCUUGGGUCAAAACCCACCACACACGCACCCUCGCGCUACUGAGAUCCUCACGGUGCUCGAGGGGACACUGUAUAUUGGCUUUGUCACAUCCAACCAGCCCGCCCCCAACAGAAACAAGUUCCUCUCCAAGGUGCUCAACAAAGGUGAUGUGUUUGUCUUCCCCGUGGGGCUCAUCCACUUCCAAUUCAACCCCAACCCCCACCAGCCCGCUGUUGCAAUUGCCGCGCUCAGCAGCCAGAACCCAGGGGCUAUCACAAUUGCCAAUGCAGUGUUUGGGUCAGACCCAGCAAUAUCAGAUGAUGUUCUUGCCAAGGCAUUUCAGGUGGAAAAGAAUACAAUAGACUAUCUCCAGGCUCAGUUCUGGGAGAACAACCACUACUAA
Molecule: ribosomal RNA, 441 nt
Filed under: Triticum aestivum (bread wheat)
Lineage: Eukaryota; Viridiplantae; Streptophyta; Magnoliopsida; Poales; Poaceae
Description: partial small subunit ribosomal RNA
Source: RNAcentral